RNAcentral lists this ribosomal RNA (253 nucleotides) under uncultured bacterium. RNAcentral's name for it is "partial 16S ribosomal RNA". It matches the Rfam family "Bacterial small subunit ribosomal RNA", at positions 524 to 776 of the family's 1533-position model. The record is from RNAcentral.
UACAGAGGGGGCAAGCGUUGUUCGGAAUUACUGGGCGUAAAGGGCGCGUAGGCGGCCUUCUAAGUCAGACGUGAAAUCCCUCAGCUUAACUGGGGAACUGCGUCCGAUACUGGAUGGCUUGGAUUUGGGAGAGGGAUGCGGAAUUCCAGGUGUAGCGGUGAAAUGCGUAGAUAUCUGGAGGAACACCGGUGGCGAAGGCGGCAUCCUGGACCAAUAUUGAUGCUGAGGAGCGAAAGCCAGGGGAGCAAACGGG